GAUGAACGCUGGCGGCGUGCCUAACACAUGCAAGUCGAGCGAAUGGACGACAAUCUGGCUUCUCUGAUGUUACCGGCGGACGGGUGAGUAACACGUGGAUAACCUACCUAUUAGACUGGGAUAACUUCGGGAAACCGUAGCUCAUACCAGAUAAUAUUUUGAACCUCAUGGUUCAAAAGAGAAAGACGGUCUUGCUGUCACUCAUAGAUGGAUCCGCGCUGCUUGAGAGAGUUGGUAAGGUAACGGCUUACCAAGGCAGCGAUGCGUAGCCGACGUGAAAGGGGGAUCGCCGAGACGGGAGCUGAGACACGGUGCAGACGCCUGAGGGAGGGAGCAGACGGGAACGUGCGGCAGUGGGCGAAAGCCUGACGCAGCAAGGCAGAGUGUGUGGUGAAGGUGUUGGGAGCGUAAAGCUGUGUUAUGGGGGAAGAACCGAUGUGUGCGUAGAUGUGGAGAUAGUGACGGUACCUAAAGAAAAAGCCACGGCUAACUACGUG
RNAcentral lists this ribosomal RNA (497 nucleotides) under uncultured bacterium. RNAcentral describes it as "partial 16S ribosomal RNA". It matches the Rfam family "Bacterial small subunit ribosomal RNA", at positions 28 to 507 of the family's 1533-position model. The record is from RNAcentral.